This 26-nucleotide non-coding RNA is filed under the name Rattus norvegicus (Norway rat). The record is from RNAcentral. Lineage: Eukaryota; Metazoa; Chordata; Mammalia; Rodentia; Muridae.
UGGUCUAGGAAAAGUCUCAAUCUCUC